This 467-nucleotide ribosomal RNA is filed under the name uncultured bacterium. RNAcentral describes it as "partial 16S ribosomal RNA". It matches the Rfam family "Bacterial small subunit ribosomal RNA", at positions 28 to 506 of the family's 1533-position model. The record is from RNAcentral.
GACGAACGCUGGCGGCGUGCUUAACACAUGCAAGUCGAACGGAAAGGCCCUGCUUUUGUGGGGUGCUCGAGUGGCGAGCGGGUGAGUAACACGUGAGUAACCUGCCCUUGACUUUGGGAUAACUUCAGGAAACUGGGGCUAAUACCGGAUAGGAGCUCCUGCUGCAUGGUGGGGGUUGGAAAGUUUCGGCGGUUGGGGAUGGACUCGCGGCUUAUCAGCUUGUUGGUGGGGUAGUGGCUUACCAAGGCUUUGACGGGUAGCCGGCCUGAGAGGGUGACCGGCCACAUUGGGACUGAGAUACGGCCCAGACUCCUACGGGAGGCAGCAGUGGGGAAUAUUGCACAAUGGGCGGAAGCCUGAUGCAGCAACGCCGCGUGCGGGAUGACGGCCUUCGGGUUGUAAACCGCUUUCGCCUGUGACGAAGCGUGAGUGACGGUAAUGGGUAAAGAAGCACCGGCUAACUACGU